Hypomesus transpacificus is the source of this 132-nucleotide small nucleolar RNA. RefSeq annotates it as small nucleolar RNA SNORA3/SNORA45 family. The transcript has a single exon. The record is from RefSeq and is a predicted model, not a curated record. NCBI's taxonomy places the organism in Eukaryota, Metazoa, Chordata, Actinopteri, Osmeriformes, Osmeridae.
CCAGAGACUAGAGUCUAAUCUUGACAAGCACCGUUGUCUUGGUUUGCUAGAGUUCCCUCAGACUGAACACUGCUCCUAUUCACUGACUGGCUCCUUCCCAUAGGCCGCUCAGCCACAUGGGUAGUGACAAGU